UUGAACUUGCUGUUGAAGGACCUAAAUUUAAAUUAAACCUUUAAAUGCAAUAACUUCUUUUCAAUUUUGGUACUGCUUGGAGAUAAUGGAGCUCUUAAGUGGAAUGAAUUUGAUUCACAAGUACAGCAAUUGUUCCUUCAAUUGGCGAUGUUUCCCACAGUAUAUGUUUUAUUCUUUCAAAGUUUAAUCAAUAAGCUUAGUGAGUUGCCUCUUUCUCACCUGUUUCUUAUAUACAACGUUCUCUAGUUUCUAGAUUUGUGGGGCUUUUUGUUUGACAUCAGGAUUGUAGGUGUGGACAUAAUUGUGUCAGAUGCAUAUUUUAUUAAUUUCCUGGCAAGAGAAAUGAUUUUAAACAUCAAGCUACGAAUCUCAGGAAAUGAUGUGUUUAAUAAUAAACGGACAUUAUCCCAGGUAUUCACGUGACCGGAUUCACAUCUCUCAGAUUUAGUUAACACGCUUUAACAGUGCGACUAAAAGGACCUGCACCCAGAGCUUGCAAGCCAGUGCCCUGCUCAUCCCUGCACCAGCGUGGAGGAAUAGUCACCAAAGGUGGGGAUUGUCUUCAAGAUCCAAUCAGCCAGAAGGUCCGUCUCCCCAGCCUUGCAGAAGUCAAGACCACUUGCCUACUUGCGACUGGGCUUCUGGUGGCUGCCCACGUUCUUGGCUUGUGGCUGCAUCACUCCAGUCUCUGUGACCACAGGCCUUCUCUUGUGUCAUCACGUCGCCUUCUGCUUCCCUAUUAUAAGAACACACCUGACUAUAUCUAGAGUUCACCCAGAUAAUCCAAGAUAAUCUCCCCAUCUCAUGAUCCUUAAUCGUAUCUUCAGAAUCCUUUUUAAUAUAUAAGUUCUAGUUAGGUAAAAACAUAGCUCUCUAGCAGUUUGCUGCACAUUUCCUGUGAAGUGAAGAUUCUCCUUUCUUAAUGAAGAGCAGCUCAUAUAUGAUGACAAAACAGAGGCAAGAGAGCAUAUGUUGGAGUACCUGGCAUUCUAUGUCAUGAGAGAAUGAACCAGAAUGGGGCAUAUGCUUCUAACCUGAAGACAAGACUGCAGAACUGACUAUAUACACAGUCCUGUGUCACUUAAAGACAGGGAUACAUUCUGAGAAAUGCAUCAUGAGGCAGUUUCAUCAUUGUGCGAAUAUCGUGGAGUGUCCUUACACAAAGCUAGACGGUAUACACCUACUACAUACCUAGGCUCUAUGGUAUAGCCUGUUGAUCCUAGGUUACAAACCUGUACAGCAUGUUACUGUACUCAAUACUGUAAGCAUUUAUAACACAAUGGUAAGUAUUUGUGUAUCUAAAGAUAUCUCAAGAUAGAAAAGGCACAGUAAAAAUAUGGUAUUAUAAUCUUAUGGGACCACCAUUUUACAUUCAGUCCAUUAUUGACCAAAGCAUCAUUAUGCAGUGCAUGACUGUAUUUGUGUAAGGAACUUUAAAAAUAAAAAGGUAUUUUUGGAAACUGAGAUUAAAAGAGGGAUCAUAAAGUGCUGAAAGGACUCCUGUUUGAACCCUGAAAUUUCUCUAGCACUGUUCCUAAACUUUUGGGGUCACUGGCCAGUUAAUAACUGUAGGAAAACCAGACAGCGUGUACCUUCUAAAUGUACCUACACAUGAAAUUAUGCAUACAAUUUUGGGGAUUCACAGAAAAGUCCUUAAAGGUCUAUCCAUGUGAUUGCUCUCAGUAUGUAUGAGAACACCUGGCCUGAGUGAAAAUUCUCCAUCAGGAGGCUUCUCCCCAUAGCGAACAUGGAGUUAGAGGUUGAAGGCUGAGGAGGAGUUCUGUAGGUAGAAAAGAGAGAAAGAGGCCAGGCGCAGUGGCUCAUGCCUGUAAUCCCAGUACUUUGGGAGGCCAAAGUGGGCAGAUCACUUAAGGUCAGGAGUUCGAGACCAGCCCGGCCAAUACGGUGAAACCCCGUCUCUACUAAAAAUACAAAAAUUAUCUGGGCAUGGUGGCACAUGCCUGUAAUCCCAGCUAUUCAGGAGGAUGAGGCACAAAAAUUGCUUGAACCCAGGAGGCGGAGGUUGCAGUGAGCCGAGAUUGCACCACUGCACUCCAGCCUGAGUGACAAGAGUGAGACUCGGUCUCAAAAAAAAAAAAAAGAAAAAGAAAAAGGAAAGAGAGAAAGACAUUGCAGUAGAGGGGAUUUCAUGGAUGAAGUUACAGAAGGGUGAAAGGGAAUAGUGGAGUGGUCUCUGGGGAAGAGCGAAGGGGCUGGGACUAGAUGAAGAACAGUUUUUUAUGCCAUGCUAAGGAGUUUCACUUUGUCUUUAGAUAGUAUCAAAGUGCUCAGAUAUUUACAGCGGAAUGAGGCUAAUGGAGGUCUUGAAGCACCUACUAGAGUUAUAACGAGAGCAGCUACAUUUUAUGAUGUAUAUAUAAGAUUUGGUUUGAAUUAUAUAGCUCUAAAAUGUUGGGAAAAUGUUAUAAGCAAUAGACACCAGAGAAGAAUUUUAAACAGGAGAUUGACUUGAGCCCAUUUGUAUCUGAAAAGAUGCCUAAAGCACAAGAACGCCAGUGAGGAAGUCCGUAUGAGUCACAUCUCUAGCUCAGCACUGUCCAUACUUUCUGCAACGAUGAGAGUGUUUUGCGUCUGUGCUGUCCCAUGCAGAAGCCACUGGCCACACGUGUCGACCGAGCUCGAAGUGUGGCCAGAGUGAUGGAAGAGCUGAAGUUGUAAUAUUAUUCAAUUGUAAUUAGUUUAAAUUGCUAUGUAUGGCUACAGCUACUAUUUUAGGCAGUGCAACUCAUUGGUCUUCUGUCUCCACAAAGGAACGUAGCCCUACUCAUACCUUGAUUGUAGCACACGGAGACCUGUGUUAGGCUUCAGACCUGUAGAACUGUAAGAUGAUGCAUUUGUAUCAUUUUAAGCCCACUGUGUUUGUGGUAAGUAGUUACGGCAGCAGUAGAAAAGUGAUGCAGUUAUGAAUCUGGAAUGGCAUCAUUAAAGGGGCUUUUGGCAAACAUUAUUUCAGGUUAAAAGUUACCAACUGAGCUAAUUUUUUGAAAAAGUUUAUUUUUUUUAUUAUCUGAGUAGUAUAUGGGCGUUAGACAAAAUUUGGAGAAAGCACAGGACACUAUAAAGAGGAAGAAAGCCCUUUUCAGAGGUAGCUAAUAAUGUUUGGAUAUAUUCUCCCUAGUUUUUUCAUUGUAUUUUUAUAGUGGACAUGAUAAAGAGCUAACAGUUAUUGAGUGAUUAUUAUGUGUUAGUCCCUGUUCUAAAUACUUCACUGAUAUUAACUCAUUUCAUCCUCAUUACAAUCUAUGAUGUAGGCAUGGUCUUCCCAUUUCCCAGAUGAAGAAACUGAAGCAAAAAGAUACAUCACUGGCUUAUCUGAUUAGACACAGCAGAGUAAGGCAUCUGCCCCAGGCAGUAAGUUUCGGAGCAAGGAUGAAUUCUAUGGUAUACUGCCCAUAUUCUGAAUAUAUGACUUUUAAUCUUGAUUCCUUUCACUUAACCCUUUAAAUUCAAAAAUUUCUCAUGUUAUUAACAACUCUUAACUGUGGUUUGCAGAUCGUGUAGGUGGUACAAGUGUCACCAUUUUCUUUUUGCCACGUUUAUGCCAAAAAUUAUAAUGACCUCUUUGUCAUUGAGAAGAGGUAUGUUAGAAAUAGAAACUCUUUAGCUUAAAAAUGAAUUUUAGCAUAAUGCUAGUUUAUUAAUAGAGAUGGAGGGUGUGGGAGCAAGUGUCAGAUACAUUUGUAAAGUUAUUUACUUGGAACUUGAAGCUAAUUUUUCUGGAAAGUAAUAUGAUACAUAACUGGACCUUCAGUAGCCCCCAUCUUCCCACAUGCCUAUUUUCCCUGCAAAGUAAUGGAAACAGUAAAUGCUGUUAGUAUGUUGAGGUUCAACCCAAGAGCUUAUGUAUAAGGGAAAAAAAAUACCCCCUGGGGAGUGCAACUAUAAAAUUAGUAUAAAAUUGAUCAGAACAGUGAUAUGCAAAGUUACCUUUAAGAAGCAAAAUAGCUUUGGGGCCUGUAAGAAUGUUACUCAAAGAAGGGAAACUCAGUUCUUAGCCCUGGAAGAACUGAGAAAUUAGCCCCUUGAACAACCAUUGGCAGCAUCCCCAGGUGGUACUACGUAUUGUAGAGGGAGCUUUAGCCAAUGACUGCUGAAAGAUCUGUCUCUCUGGAAAAUAGAUGCAUCAGCCUGUUUUAGGGAGUGUAGCUAAAAUCAGCUAACUCUCUUGUUUUAUUUGCAUACUCGCCUAAUAACUUCUGGUUAAAAUUGGGCUUCUUAUAUAGGUCUACAGGGAGACAUUUCUCUGGUUUUGUUGCCACAACUAUUACAGCUCUGUCAUAAUUAUGUUUAUUAUUGUAAAAUUAAAAGAUAGGUGUUGCAGUUCUAUAAAUGUUUCCUGAGUUUGAUUAAUUCAAAUGUACCCCUUGAGAGAUGGGUCCAUUCUUAGCAAGCUGACAAAAUCAGACCUCAAGCAGAGCCUGUGAUCUGAAGGUCAGGCCCUGAACUGGGUACCCCCCGGGUAGCCUGGGUCUUCCCCUUGCUUCACCUCCUCUAACGUUAUCAUUGGCCAAAGCUAGGCUCCUAUUAUUAUUU
This is a long non-coding RNA of Gorilla gorilla gorilla (western lowland gorilla), 4554 nucleotides long. RefSeq lists it as uncharacterized. Lineage: Eukaryota; Metazoa; Chordata; Mammalia; Primates; Hominidae. The transcript is spliced from 4 exons. The record is from RefSeq and is a predicted model, not a curated record.